CUUUUGUUGCCAACACGAUGGAAAUCCUACUCUCGCUUAGAAACGCGCGAGGAGUUGACCAAGAACAUAGUCUGUUCACAAAAAUGUCUAUGGCUCUGCGUCGUUACCUCUUCGGUGGAGCGAAUCACAUCACUGCCCAUCAUACUCACCACCUUCUGAAACCCAAAAUCGGAUAUUGGGCGCCAUUUAAUCACAAUGCUUUGGUCCCCCCACUUGUUCUUCAUCAACGUUUCCACUCCUCCAUGGAUCUUCCGCCUCUUCUUCUUCUUCUUCUUCUGCGGCAAACCCAAAUUCAGUUUCACUAUUAUUAUGUGGUGGCACUUGCAUUUACAAUGGUGCCCGGAUGGAUGAUUGGAUUAUCAGACUCGCCCAGUUUGCAGUAGACCAGUACAAUCACAAAGAGAGUAAGCAUCUGUGAGGGUGGUGGGGGCAAGCCGCACUAUGGUUUCUAGCAUGUUGUACCAUAUUACACUGGAGGCCAUGAAUGCUAUAGGCCUAAGAUUUACCAUGCAAUUAUUUGGAUUGCAAUAUUAAAGAAUUUCAUGGUGCUGCUUGUGUGGAAGCCCCUUGUCUACUCUUGGGGUUAAGUCUGGUGAUUUGAAGUUGCAUGAAGCUGCUAUGUAUUACAAGAAUCAAGCAAAACAAGAUCGCUUCCUCACUUGAAUUUAUGAAGCCUACAUUUUUUGUGCAUUUGUGUCUUCAUUGGCUAUCUAACCUUCAAAUAUCUUUGAUACACCUGGCGCAUUGCACUCAUAUACAAGGUGAGCUAGCGAGACAAGCUUGUAUUAGUUUCUAACGUAACAGCCUUCCUCCUAACAUUCAAAUACACACAAAUGAAUAGUGAAGUCUGGAUGAGUUAUUUUGUUACUGUAAUUAUGACCUGUGAUGUGAUGAGUUAGAUUGUGAAGCCUGCCUACUGGUUAUUUUUCUUGUACAUUAGGAUAGAGAGCUGUCCACUUUCACACCCCCCUCUCACCUAUUGUGUCAGCAGCCACCAUUCUGAAGGGAUUGGAAGCUCAAACUCUAAUAUGGAGAGCCUUGGAGCGAGAAACGAGCUCCAUAUGUUUUAUCACGAUAUCAAGGAAGAUGUGUAAAUAGGUACCUUGGUUAGGAAUUUGAUGAUGGGAGGCUUGGUUGGAUAGUCGUCAGGUAACUCGAUGGAAAGAAAGAAGACGCCUUCUUCAUAAGGAGAAUCUGGAGGCCCCAUGAUAACACCUUGCCAUUUGAAAGGGUCUUCAAGCUUUACUGGUCCAUAGCUGCAGUGAGUUGGGAAAUCUGCUUUUAUGAAUCUCUCCCUUUGGUAUAUCCAGUGGCUUGCAAGUUCUCUGUCUUUCAUGAGAGAAGUAAUUUAGUAUGGAUCAAUCAUAGGAUCUCGUCUAUAUAGCGAUGAGACCGUGCUUAGGGGAUUGUGCGUAAUUCGAACGCAACUCCCCUGUAGAGCUUGUUCAUCAAACAGUGGAUUAUUCAUCCUAAAGUCAUCAUUUCAUUGAAAGAAAUUUAAUGCAAUAAGUGAAUGUUCGUACCGAUCUGCCAUGUUAUGUGUGUGCCUGAAAGAUGCAGCAGAAGCCUGAACAGAGCGGACAAUGCUUUGAAACCACAAGAAUUAGAUUCUAUGGAGGAAAAAGCAAACCAGAGGGAAUGAACAAAUAUUGGAAGUGAAAAUAUUCAAGGUCUUCGAGCAAGUCUAGGACCUCCUUAACUUGUAGACCGAGCUAUAUGUCCUUUUUAUGUAUUGGUUUUCUUUCAGCUUUCCAUGUAAAGGAUUAGUAGGUUCCUAUACGUUGCUUGACUUCAUCUGCGUUAAUCUUACGAAUGUCUUGUUUCAUGGAAGUUAUCCGAGGGAACUUUCAUAUGCAAUUUCGUUGGAAAAGAAGACUUUGUUGACCAAUGAAGGUUUUGCAAUGACUCGUAAAAUAAUGGUCAUUGCCUGAUUGGUAAUCUUACGUACUGAAAAGUACUGAAGAGUGGACGUGUUCAAAGGCUACUUUUUUUGGUGGGAUAAAUUACGGGGGUUUCACUUGGACCUCAACAUAUUUCCACAAUCUAAACUCCACCUCUCCCAUACGGAAAUGAAAGAAAAGCGGUUGAUGUUGUUGAGGUGAUGAUGCGGUGUGGCCGGUCCGAUCAGAAGACCAUGGAGUAUGGCCACAGGAAAAACAUUUGAACGUGGGUGAAUCACCAGUAGACAUUCUCGAAUGAAUUGGGGCAAAAGAAUAAAUCAAUGAGAACUUUAGUGCGAAAUUUAUAAAUUGCUCAACUCUAGUUCCAAACUUAUAAUGGUUCGUCUAUUGUAUAUUAAUGCAGCAACGAUGCAUCUAGACUAGUUUAAUUC
RNAcentral lists this long non-coding RNA (2332 nucleotides) under Rosa chinensis. RNAcentral describes it as "sRNA RchiOBHm_Chr4g0415251". Lineage: Eukaryota; Viridiplantae; Streptophyta; Magnoliopsida; Rosales; Rosaceae. The record is from RNAcentral.